GGGGAGGUGCCGGAGUGGACGAACGGGGCCGCCUGCUAAGUGGUUGUCGGAUGUAAAUCCGACCGAGGGUUCGAAUCCCUCCCUCCCCGCUA
RNAcentral lists this transfer RNA (92 nucleotides) under Chloroflexota bacterium. Its description in RNAcentral is "Chloroflexi bacterium (marine metagenome) tRNA-Ser". It matches the Rfam family "tRNA". Rfam says of the family: Transfer RNA (tRNA) molecules are approximately 80 nucleotides in length. Their secondary structure includes four short double-helical elements and three loops (D, anti-codon, and T loops). The record is from RNAcentral. Lineage: Bacteria; Bacillati; Chloroflexota.